Molecule: ribosomal RNA, 46 nt
Filed under: Pyropia tenera (asakusa nori)
Lineage: Eukaryota; Rhodophyta; Bangiophyceae; Bangiales; Bangiaceae
Description: partial 5.8S rRNA
Source: RNAcentral
ACCGUCUCCAUACAAUAACAAAAGAUACAACUCUUAGCGGUGGAUA